RNAcentral lists this ribosomal RNA (247 nucleotides) under uncultured bacterium. Its description in RNAcentral is "partial 16S ribosomal RNA". It matches the Rfam family "Bacterial small subunit ribosomal RNA", at positions 524 to 769 of the family's 1533-position model. The record is from RNAcentral.
UACGUAGGGUGCAAGCGUUAAUCGGAAUUACUGGGCGUAAAGCGUGCGCAGGCGGCUAUGCAAGACAGAUGUGAAAUCCCCGGGCUCAACCUGGGAACUGCAUUUGUGACUGCAUGGCUAGAGUACGGUAGAGGGGGGAUGGAAUUCCGCGUGUAGCAGUGAAAUGCGUAGAUAUGCGGAGGAACACCGAUGGCGAAGGCAAUCCCCUGGACCUGUACUGACGCUCAUGCACGAAAGCGUGGGGAGC